CCUCAUGAGACUGCGGAGGACAUUACCGAGUUCUAUAACUCCCUGCCCAUGUGAAUCACUUAACGGUGCCUCCCCGGGUCACGCCCACUUCGCCUUGGCCUACCCUGUGUGGCCUACCCGGGGGAGGUGGCUUCCCCGGUCUGCCGACAACCCUUCUCUGUUUGAUAUUGAAUUCUGAACCUAUGUUUUACUACAUUAACUUUUUCAACAACGGAUCUCUUGGGUCUGGCAUCUUUAAAUACAACUUUCAACUGCGAAACUUUAGGCUAAUUGAUCAAUUCAGAGAAUCACCAAAUCUUUGAACUCAUGUGAAUCCCAUAAUUAUUCGAAUGGGCAGGACCUUUAACGCGUCUUUUCUACCCUGAAAUUCCGAGGGCUAAGUGUGGGGAAGCCACGGGGACUUCUCUCCCCAUAAUUUUUGGCGGACUUGGCUCACACUCUUUGCAUAUGAAAGUUGUGUCUGCCCUUGCCGUUGGACCCCUCCCCUGUGCAAUAACCUGCCACCUUCUUAAAGUUGACCUCGUGAAAAUUCUCUGCGCUCGCUGUUGAAAGCAUUUGGUGACCCGGAGCGAAAAAACCGUCUCCUUGCCGAGACAAUCAUUUGACAAUCUGAGCUCAAAUCAGGUAAGACUACCCGCUGAACAAAAGCAUAUAAUAG
This 658-nucleotide ribosomal RNA is filed under the name Sordariomycetes sp. HD-2014. RNAcentral describes it as "eukaryotic LSU rRNA". Lineage: Eukaryota; Fungi; Ascomycota; Sordariomycetes. The record is from RNAcentral.